AGAGUUUGAUCAUGGCUCAGAUUGAACGCUGGCGGCGUGCUUAACACAUGCAAGUCGAGCGGUAACAGGUGUAGCAAUACAUGCUGACGAGCGGCGAACGGGUGAGUAAUGCUUCGGAAUCUACCCAAUGGCGGGGAAUAACUAGCCGAAAGGUUAGCUAAUACCGCAUAAGCCCUACGGGGGAAAGCAGGGGAUCGUAAGACCUUGCACCGAUGGAUGAGCCGAAGUCGGAUUAGCUAGUUGGUAGGGUAACGGCCUAUCAAGGCGACGAUCCGUAGCUGGUCUGAGAGGACGACCAGCCACACUGGGACUGAGACACGGCCCAGACUCCUACGGGAGGCAGCAGUGGGGAAUAUUGGACAAUGGGGGAAACCCUGAUCCAGCGACGCCGCGUGUGUGAAGAAGGCCUGCGGGUUGUAAAGCACUUUUAGUGGGGAAGAAAUGUUCAGGGUUAAUACCCCUGGAUCUUGACGUAACCCAAAGAAAAAGCACCGGCUAACUCUGUGCCAGCAGCCGCGGUAAUACAGAGGGUGCAAGCGUUAAUCGGAAUUACUGGGCGUAAAGCGUGCGUAGACGGUUAUGUAAGUCGGGUGUGAAAGCCCCGGGCUCAACCUGGGAAUUGCAUUCGAGACUGGAUAGCUAGGGUACGGAAGAGGGAAGCGGAAUUUCAGGUGUAGCGGUGAAAUGCGUAGAUAUCUGAAGGAACACCAGUGGCGAAAGCGGCUUCCUGGUCCAGUACCGACGUUCAGGCACGAAAGCGUGGGGAGCAAACAGGAUUAGAUACCCUAGUAGUCC
Molecule: ribosomal RNA, 795 nt
Filed under: uncultured bacterium
Lineage: Bacteria
Description: bacterial SSU rRNA
Rfam family: Bacterial small subunit ribosomal RNA
Source: RNAcentral